ACUGAAUAUAAGAGCAAUGUGUGGGGCAAGCACCAGAACUCUGGCCAGAUGUGGGCACUCUCUCCCACUCCCCUCUUCCCCUACACCCACAGCCAGGCAAAUGGUAGCAAGAGGAUGGUGUAACCAUCCAUGCAAGACAGAACCAACUAAAGAAAAUGCUCCACACACAGAGACCUACAGAGACCUACAUCAAAACUCCAAAUUUCCCAAGACAGUCUAUCUCCACAUAGUGCCUGCUGCCAGAGAUCCACCUAAAACAGCGCCAUCUUCUGAGCCUACAGACAACAAAGCUGCCUUCCUCCAAAAACCUCAUCUGACUGAAGACUCCUGAGACAUGUGAAGAACUCCACAAAAGACAGACUUGGGACCUUCCAGCUACAGAUGAACUCUCUUGCCAAAGCCAAUGGCUGCUGAACUUAGGGAAAGUUCCAUGAUAGCAAAGAAAACAUAAUGUCUAUCUAGAUUAAUUAAUUGCUGUUUAAAAAUGAUAUUACCCUCAAAUUGUACUACCCAUGGAACAAGUAAUUGAGUGUACAAUCUCUUGCCUUCCCAACCCUUACCCUUAACCCUCCUUACUACUCUGGCUUUGUUGUGCUACUUCUCUAGGCUGUGUGUUUUCUUCUGAUAUUUCCACCCCACCCUAAAUUUUCAUCACAAAUGGCACAGGCACACCGGUGAGCCCUCCCUUUUUAUAAAAACAAAAGGGGUAUUUGUAGGGCAGGUGUUUAAUGAUUGCACAUAUAUACAUUCAUAGAAACCCUAUAAGGAAAAGAUGUUCACAUUUGUUUAAACCUGGAUAUUAUCAUUUUGAGAAACACUGACACAUAGCAGGGUGGUUAUACCUGAAUGAAUGAAUGAAUGGAUGAAUGAAUGAAUGAAUGAAUGAGUUCUGUAUAUAUUCUAUCCAUUCUACCAUCAAAGAAAACUUUCUGUCAUUUGGUCACAAAGUAGGUAACUGUUCAUGUUCCUCUUUCUGUGUUUGCUUACUGGGACUUCUAAUCCUUAUGCUAGGAAUUUCCCACAGUUUGAGCCUAGUUAAUGGGUGCAGGUUGGUUCCGUUUCUUCACUACUGGGUCAUAUGCCUUGCUGGUAUUAUUCUACUAAUUUUGUCCUUCAGGUUCACAUUCAAGCUGAUGUCUGUAGGAAAAUAAUUACAAUGAGGGCAGACAAAUUUUCUAGUCUCUUGAUUUGGGAUCAUGGAUAGUAGUGUUGAGGAAAUCUCAUAGUUUUUCUCAACCUGCACUUUCUUACUUCCAUUUCAACAAGCCCCUCCCCUACUUUUGCUAAGCAGAAACACAGCGGAAGGAAACAUGCUUCUUUCUACCACGCUGGCUCACUUAGAUCCUCCUAGCAGUGUAAAAGCCUCCACUUACUCUUGACCGUGACGUGAAGAUGAAGCUGAUUCUAAGAUGCUUUCCUGAUUUUACCUCUUAUGAUGGUUCCUAACCAAAAUCCUUUAAUAUUGAUAAUCACAUAGUUUUCACAAUAUAGGAAUGAUGUCAAAU
This 1505-nucleotide long non-coding RNA is filed under the name Mus caroli (Ryukyu mouse). RNAcentral's name for it is "predicted gene, 44000 (MGP_CAROLIEiJ_G0003943.1)". The record is from RNAcentral. Lineage: Eukaryota; Metazoa; Chordata; Mammalia; Rodentia; Muridae.